This is a long non-coding RNA of Gallus gallus (chicken), 1266 nucleotides long. The record is from Ensembl. NCBI's taxonomy places the organism in Eukaryota, Metazoa, Chordata, Aves, Galliformes, Phasianidae.
AGCUCCGCCGCGUCGCGUCCGGCCGGGCGGCAGCCGAGAGCCGGCGGCGCGGCCCGACGGCGGCUCCUGGCUCCUGCCCAGCGCGAGACGCACCGAUCUCCGCACGCGGGACAAAGAUCUCCCGAGCUCCCGGGGCUCGCGCUUUCCUUUCGUUUUUGUUUCUCUGCUGAUACUGUUAAAAUUUAAAUCUAAGGAAAUAAAAAUCUGGAAAGGAUUCCGCGCGGGGUUCUUAAUGUGACCCGUGCUGUGCUGUGACCCCGCUGAAGGAACAGAGUUUAUUUUGUAAUGCUCCCCAAAUGUUGAUAUUUAAUAAGCAGGACAAGUGUUAACCUGAAUUACUUAAUGCGUCUUUUUCUGGGUCUUAAGAUAAAGCCUCUUUCUACGCGUGCAGAAACAGCUCUGAGUGAAAUUCGUGAUUUAGUAAAAUAUUUUGGGAAGGAUUUUAAGUGAUAGAGCCUAUUUUAUUUUUGUUUGGGACAUUAUAAAUCUGAAAACCUUUGUAGCUAAUGCUGAAAAAAUAAUAUACGAUUAUUCAAUUCUGAGAUCAAGAUAAAAGCUGCUUAAAUUUCAGACUUCAAUCAGCGGAGAGAAAAGCAUCUCAUGUACAUUAAUUUUCUGUGUUACCUCCUUAUUUUCGUGUAAGGAUUCCGUUUCUCCACCACAUCGGGCUUCCCACAAUCUGUCUCCUACGACUACGAGGACAAUCGCAGCCCUUCUUUCCUCUCCGCAAUAGUUUUUGUAAAUUCUCAUUAAAAAACAAAACAACAACAACAAAAAACAAUCAAAAAGGAUCAACCGAACAAAAAAGAAAAAAAAAAACCCAAACGAAAAUAGCGAAGCGAUCGUGCGGCGGGGCCGGGAGGAGCGGAGCGGGAACCCAACAUCCUCGCACCCCGGGAUCCAUUUCAUCUUUGUUCUCGGGCUUUUACUCACAAAUAUCGCCCUAAAGAUGGGUUCCGUCGCGCCGGGUGCUCCCAUCCCCGCCCGCUGCCCCGAGAACCAUUCGAUGAGGUGUUACCUUCGGUUUCCAAAAUGCUUUUAACGAAAAAAACAAAAUACAAUUAAGACACCCACGCGCAAAACCAUCACAGAAAUUAAACCAAGUCGAGCCCCGCAGCCCCACCUCCCGCGGCUUGUUUCUAAUUCGGCAUUUAUUUGCAAGACAAAUCUUUUUGUUUUGAGGUGUUUUGUUUUAAUUUGGAGAUCGCAGCGGCCAAACACCGCUCCCUGUUUCCCGAACGAAGCGGCGGAGCGGAGAGAAGCGGC